RNAcentral lists this ribosomal RNA (520 nucleotides) under uncultured Glomus. RNAcentral describes it as "SSU rRNA". It matches the Rfam family "Eukaryotic small subunit ribosomal RNA", at positions 569 to 1086 of the family's 1831-position model. Lineage: Eukaryota; Fungi; Glomeromycota; Glomeromycetes; Glomerales; Glomeraceae. The record is from RNAcentral.
AGCAGCCGCGGUAAUUCCAGCUCCAAUAGCGUAUAUUAAAGUUGUUGCAGUUAAAAAGCUCGUAGUUGAAUUUCGGGGUUAGUAGGUUGGUCAUGCCUCCGGUAUGUACUGAUCUCACUGAUUCCUCCUUCCUGAUGAGCCGUAAUGCCAUUAAUUUGGUGUUGCGGGGAAUUUGGACUGUUACUUUGAAAAAAUUAGAGUGUUUAAAGCAAGCUAACGCUUGAAUACAUUAGCAUGGAAUAAUGAAAUAGGACGUUCGAUCCUAUUUUGUUGGUUUCUAGGAUUGACGUAAUGAUUAAUAGGGAUAGUUGGGGGCAUUAGUAUUCAAUUGUCAGAGGUGAAAUUCUUGGAUUUAUUGAAGACUAACUACUGCGAAAGCAUUUGCCAAGGAUGUUUUCAUUAAUCUAAGAACGAAAGUUAGAGGAUCGAAGACGAUCAGAUACCGUCGUAGUCUUAAACCAUAAACCUAUGCCGACUAGGGAUCGGAUGAUGUUAAUUUUUUAANGUACUCAUUCGGCGU